GGCUCAGAACGAACGCUGGCGGCGCGCCUAACACAUGCAAGUCGCACGAGAAGGCGGGGCAACCCGCUGGUACAGUGGCGAACGGGUGAGUAACGCGUGGGUAACCUACCCUCGAGGGGGGAAUAACCCGCCGAAAGGCGGGCUAAUGCCGCGUACGCGCUCCGGGGGAUGCCUCGGAGCGGAAAGCUGCGCUGAGAGCGUGGCACUCGAGGAGGGGCUCAUGUCCUAUCAGCUGGUUGGUAGGGUAACGGCCUACCAAGGCUGCGACGGGUAGCUGGUCUGAGAGGACGAUCAGCCACACUGGCACUGCGACACGGGCCAGACUCCUACGGGAGGCAGCAGUGAGGAAUAUUGCGCAAUGGGCGCAAGCCUGACGCAGCGACGCCGCGUGGGGGAUGAAGGGCUUCGGCUUGUAAACCCCUUUCGGGGGGGAAGACGGAAUGGGUAACCACUUGGACGGUACCCCCAGAAGCAGCCACGGCUAACUUCGUGCCAGCAGCCGCGGUAAUACGAAGGUGGCAAGCGUUGUUCGGAUUUACUGGGCGUAAAGGGAGCGUAGGUGGUCGGGUAAGCCCCGCGGGAAAGCUCCAGGCUUAACCUGGAAAGGUCGCGGGGGACUGCGCGGCUAGAGGACGGGAGAGGAGCGCGGAAUUCCCGGUGUAGCGGUGAAAUGCGUAGAGA
Molecule: ribosomal RNA, 681 nt
Filed under: uncultured nitrite-oxidizing bacterium
Lineage: Bacteria
Description: bacterial SSU rRNA
Rfam family: Bacterial small subunit ribosomal RNA
Source: RNAcentral